AAGUCUGACAUCUAGAUGGUACAAAAAGGCCUUUGACAAUGACAAAUGAGUACCACCCACUUUCGUCUCGUUGUAGUCAACUCUCCCUGAAUUUUAUCUUGUUUUUAACAAUUGUCUGACCAUUGUGGCAUCUCAUAAUGAUGAGAAAAACACUGACUGGGGAACUGAGUCAGAUACGGUGGUAGGACUUUCCAUUUUCUAUCUUCUAUAGUCUUCCCAGCAACCCCAUGAAAAUAUUACAGUCAUUGCCUCAUUUAGUAGAUGAAGAAGCCAAAGGCCUGAGAAGCUAAAGGACAUCUCCAGCUCACACAGCAGGGUGUAUCAGAGCCAAUAUACAAACCUAGGCAGAAAUGUCCUAAAUUUCACUCUUGAAGAGUGAGCAGCCUUUGAUCAUCAAAAUAAAAUUUGUAUUUGAUGUCAGGACCAAUUUUACUACCAACCACCCAAUGGCAUCCAGAGUAGGCAAACUGGAUAGUCUUUCUUAGAAACUCAUUAACUGCACAUAUAUUAAUUAUUUAAUUAUAAAAUAAAACAAAUUUGUUUAAAAUAUUAUAAAUCCUCACAAAUUAUGAACUUUAAGAUUCUGGCACCUGGGGGCACCUGGGUGGUAUAGUUGGUUGGUUGUCUGACUCUUGGUUUCAGCCCAGGUCGUGGUCUCAAGGUCAUGAGAUGAAGCCUUGUGUUGGCUCUGUGCUCAGUGUGGAGUCUACUUGGGACUCUCUCCCUCUGCCCCUGCCCCUGCCCAAUCCCUAUAAACAUAAAUAAAGAGAUCCUAAAAACAAAUUUUUGUCAUCUGACACCUGCAAGACAUAGCCUGGACCUUACAAGCUGCUGCAAGUAGGAAUUUUAGCUGUUUCAUUCUGACUUUCAUCUGGAAUAUUUUUUUUUCACAUUUUACAUAUGAGAGACCAUAUGUUACACACAAGAACAAAAGCAUAGAAUUAUAAAUUUCAUUGUAGCUAAAAUAUAUAGCUAUUUUUAUGAAAUGGUAUUUUCAGUUCAGAUACAUUCAAAGGACAAAUAUGAAAUAGGAACAGGAGAGAAAUCUUAUUUAAUCAGAUAUUCAGUAAGGUUCUAACUUGUGAGCGAUGUCAGAUUGAUUCCCAUAUGAUGUAACAAAUCUAAAUAACUAACAGAGCUAAACACAUCUAAAUACCCUCCCUUGACCCCCUGCUCCAUCCUAACCACAACGUUCCCUUGCAAAUGGUGGGCACAUUGGCUUAAACCUGGGGGUUAUGGAGAAGGCUUCAAGGAGUCCUCACUGUCCCCACAAGUUGCCUGGAGUGGCAGUGAGGACUGGAGGGUGUGGUGCUGCAGUGGCCAGCCCUUCCUGCUGUGGUGUCACAGACCAAACUCUGGAGGUCACGGGAGUCACGCCCCUUGAGAGCAAUGGAAGGGAAAAGGAAAUGAUAGUAACUGCUGGAUUUAUUCAAGGUAUUGUACGGCAUGGGGGACACAGUAAACGGUGUUGUCAUAGUGUUGUAUGAUGUGGCAAAUAGUAGUUACAUGCGUGGCCAGCACAGCAUAAGGAAUGCUCAGACUCAUCAAAUCACUAUACCGUUAAUCUGAAACCAACGUAACACUGUGUUUCAACUUACUUUAGUGAAAAUAUAUAUAAAAAUUAAAUUAGUCAGUUCUUAAUUAAACCAUCACGUUCUUCAGGUCUAGCAAUAUUCUAGUUUCUACUAAACAUUAUAAAUCCAUUCAUAGUAUAUGUUAUAACUUCUCUUGUGGUUUUGAGGAAAGGGAUGCUCAACCUGGAAUAAAUUCUUCCAAGUACAAUGACUGACUUUUUAGCAGACUUGAAGUUUGACUGCCAUGAAUGGACAUGGUUUCAUGUGAGGUAAAGCUUUAAAUACUCUUUUACAAGCUUAGCUAGAAACACUGAUCUAAGUGAGAGAUCUAAUUGUGUACUUUCUUGGUCAUAAGUGUUUAGGGUGUUUUUGAAUGGGGGUAAAAGCUAAUUCAUAUGCAUUACUGAGAAAAUUAACUAAUUUCCUGUAAAUUUGUCAAACAGCUUCCAGCUUAUCAGCAAUCAUCUACUGUGCACCUUGCACGUACCUGCCACUGGGUCAGUACUGGACUUGACUCAGUAAGUUAAUCUGAAAGAAAUGAUAAAGAUUAGGGAAAACUCAUUCUCCAUUUGAAUAAAUGCAUCAGAAGAAUCUACAGUGGAUUCUUAGAAUACACAUUUAAUUCCCAAGGGGCACCCGAAGGAACAUGAAACCUAUUUUAAGAAGCACAAUUUGGCUGGAUGUGUAGGAGAUAAAGUGCCUAAAUGUAAGGCUACAUACAGACAGAAGAAAAACAGCAAUAUAUUAUUGCUCCAUCAACCUAAACAGAAUAUGCUGGGCUUUAUUUUCAUGUUGAUUUUGGCAUGAACCACAAUAUACUUGAAUCAUUCUGAAAGAUGAUAAUAGGAGAAUUUGUGUUGGCAACGGGCCAAAUAAAAGCCGAGGAUAAAAAGCAGUAGCCACAAGUGUUUACUUUGGUCUAGAGAGAUUUUGCUAAUCAGAGAGCCAUGGGCAAUUCCCAUUGGAAAAUA
RNAcentral lists this long non-coding RNA (2545 nucleotides) under Canis lupus familiaris (dog). Its description in RNAcentral is "lncRNA (ENSCAFG00845018706.1)". The record is from RNAcentral. Lineage: Eukaryota; Metazoa; Chordata; Mammalia; Carnivora; Canidae.